RNAcentral lists this ribosomal RNA (2457 nucleotides) under Triticum aestivum (bread wheat). RNAcentral describes it as "partial small subunit ribosomal RNA". Lineage: Eukaryota; Viridiplantae; Streptophyta; Magnoliopsida; Poales; Poaceae. The record is from RNAcentral.
AUGCUCUGCGGCGGCGGCGUGUCGAUGGUCAUGGACGCCGCGCUGCACGACUGGUGCGGGCCGCUGCCCGGCGGAUCCAAGCUGCCAAUCUACCCCCAAAUCCCCGACGGGUUCACCGCGGAGGAGCUCGAGUCGCUGCUGCUCUUCCCGUCCGACGGCGCCGACGCGGGCGCCUACCUGAAUGCCGCCGCGGCGCCGGCCCUGCUCCCGCCCCCGCCCGCCUCCGCCGGCAGCGCGUCGCCGCCGCCGCCGAGAGACGCCUCGGCCCAUUCGCCGUCUGCUGCUGCUGCGGCGGCGGGCCAGGCGCAUCCGCAGCCGGACGACUCGGAGGUGUUCUCGGACAUCGUGCUGGGCUACAUCAACCGCAUGCUCAUGGCCGAGGACAUCGACGAGAAGUUCGACCACUACCCGGCCCACCCGGCGCUGCUCGCCGCCGAGAAGCCCUUCCUCGAGAUCCUCGCCGACCAGCCGCCCUGCUCCGGCGGCAGCACGGUCGAGAGCCCCGACGGCAGCAGCGUCACCACCAGCUCCUUCAACAGCCACGGCUCUUGCAACUGCGCCGCGCCUUCCGGUGGUGGCCUCGGCGCCAUGCAGGCGCCGCCUGCUCUCGAGUUCCCCAGCGCGGAGUUCCUGCAGCCGCCGCAGUUCUACCAGGAUCUGAGCCCCGAGAGCUGCGUGGUGGAAGCAGGCGGCGCGUGGCCGUACGAUGCCAUGGAAUUCAACCCUCUUCCUGACGCGCUGCUCUCGCAGUCGUCGUCCUUCGCGUCUUCAAAUGGCAGCAGCGUUGCAUUUUCAGAGGGCUUCGAGCCGUGGCUCAGCACGGCGGCUGCUGUGCCUUCUGAUGCUGGUUUGAGCGAUCUUGUUCUGCAGAGCCAGCAAGCAGUGCAGUUCAGCCGAGGAUUUGAAGAGGGAAGCAGAUUUCUGCCUCAAGAGAGCAAGCUUGUGAUUGACAUCGACAGCUUACCGUCAGUUCGGGUUAAAGAAGAUAAGAAGGUUGUGGAGGUCAAGAGAGAGAAGGCUGAUUCUGAAGUAGCAAUUCACCGAGGAAAGAAGCAUUUCUAUGGUGACGACCUGGAUGCAGAUGAAGUGAGAUGCUGCAAGCAUUCAGCACCUGUGGUCGACGCGGAUCACCUUGUGCGGGAGAUGAUGGACAAGGUCUUGCUAUGCAACGGCGAGACAUGCUCUAGAGGUGUCAAGGAACUGCGUGAGGCCCUACAGCACGAUGUGGCAGCUCAUUCAGGUGGUGCCCAUGGCAAAGGGUCUGGCCAUGGUAAGGGCCGUGGCAAGAAACAAGUCAAACAGCCCAAGAAGGAGGUGGUCGACUUGGAGACUCUCCUCAUUCAUUGUGCUCAGUCUGUGUCCAUUGAUGACCGGCGGAGUGCAACUGAUCUCCUCAAGCAGAUCAGGCAGCAUGCAUCUGCCAAUGGUGAUGGUGACCAGCGUUUGGCGCACUGCUUUGCCAAUGGCCUUGAGGCGAGGCUUGCUGGUAAUGGAAGUCAGAUUUACAAGUUACACACCAUAUCACGGUUUGCAUGCGCUGAUAUUCUGAAAGCCUACCAACUGUACCUAGCAGCUUGCCCAUUCAAGAAGAUCUCUCAUUACUUUGCCAAUCAAACCAUUAUGAAUGCUGUGGAGAAAGCCAAGAAAGUUCACAUUGUCGACUUCGGCGUAUACUAUGGCUUUCAGUGGCCAUGUCUCAUUCAACGGCUAAGUAAAAGGCCUGGAGGCCCCCCAGAACUUCGGAUCACAGCAAUAGACACACCUCAGCCUGGUUUUCGCCCAGCAGAGCGCAUCGAGGAGAUUGGAAGAUAUCUAAGUGAUUAUGCUCAGACCUUCAAAGUUCCUUUCAAAUACCAUGGCAUCGCAUCUCAAUUUGAGGCUGUUCAGGUAGAGGAUCUCCACAUUGAGAAGGACGAGAUUCUGAUUGUCAACAGCAUGUUCAGGUUCAAGACUCUGAUGGAUGAGAGCGUGGUAGCUGAGAGUCCAAGGAACAUGGUAUUGAACACAAUAAGGAAGAUGAAGCCACAUGUGUUCAUUCAUGGGGUCACUAAUGGAUCCUAUAAUGCACCAUUCUUCGUCUCACGCUUCCGGGAGGCAUUGUUCCAGUUCUCUGCUCACUUUGACAUGUUGGAGGCUAACAUUCCCAGGGAUAAUGAGGAGAGGCUGCUCAUUGAGUCGACUAUUUUCAGUCGGGAGGCAAUUAAUGUAAUAUCUUGUGAGGGAAUGGAGAGGAUGGAGAGGCCAGAGACCUACAAGCAGUGGCAGGUGCGGAAUCAGAGGGCUGGGUUCAAGCAGCUCCCGCUGGACCCGGAAAUCAUGAAGCGUGCACGGGAGAAGGUGAAGUGCUACCACAAGAAUUUCAUCAUCGACGAGGACAACAGGUGGUUACUACAAGGAUGGAAGGGGCGUAUCCUGUACGCGCUCUCAACAUGGAAGGCGAAUCCCCAAUCUUCCUAG